This 503-nucleotide ribosomal RNA is filed under the name uncultured bacterium. RNAcentral describes it as "partial 16S ribosomal RNA". It matches the Rfam family "Bacterial small subunit ribosomal RNA", at positions 30 to 523 of the family's 1533-position model. The record is from RNAcentral.
AUUGAACGCUGGCGGCAGGCUUAACACAUGCAAGUCGAGCGGGGUGAUGGUGCUUGCACUAUCACUUAGCGGCGGACGGGUGAGUAAUGCUUAGGAAUCUGCCUAUUAGUGGGGGACAACAUCUCGAAAGGGAUGCUAAUACCGCAUACGUCCUACGGGAGAAAGCAGGGGACCACUUGUACCCUUGCGCUAAUAGAUGAGCCUAAGUCGGAUUAGCUAGUUGGUGGGGUAAAGGCCUACCAAGGCGACGAUCUGUAGCGGGUCUGAGAGGAUGAUCCGCCACACUGGGACUGAGACACGGCCCAGACUCCUACGGGAGGCAGCUGGGGGGAAUAUUGGACAAUGGGGGGAACCCUGAUCCAGCCAUGCCGCGUGUGUGAAGAAGGCUUUAUGGUUGUAAAGCACUUUAAGCGAGGAGGAGGCUCUUUUGGUUAAUACCCAAGAUGAGUGGACGUUACUCGCAGAAUAAGCACCGGCUAACUCUGUGCCAGCCGCCGCGGUAA